RNAcentral lists this ribosomal RNA (497 nucleotides) under uncultured bacterium. RNAcentral describes it as "partial 16S ribosomal RNA". It matches the Rfam family "Bacterial small subunit ribosomal RNA", at positions 28 to 507 of the family's 1533-position model. The record is from RNAcentral.
GACGAACGCUGGCGGCGUGCCUAAUACAUGCAAGUUGAGCGCUGAAGGUUGGUACUUGUACCAACUGGAUGAGCAGCGAACGGGUGAGUAACGCGUGGGGAAUCUGCCUUUGAGCGGGGGACAACAUUUGGAAACGAAUGCUAAUACCGCAUAAAAACUUUAAACACAAGGUUUAAGUUUGAAAGAUGCAAUUGCAUCACUCAAAGAUGAUUCCGCGUUGUAUUAGCUAGUUGGUGAGGUAAAGGCUCACCAAGGCGAUGAUACAUAGCCGAACUGAGAGGGUGAUCGGCCACAUUGGGAGUGAGACACGGCCCAAACUCCUACAGGAGGCAGCAGUAGGGAAUCUUCGGCAAUGGACGAAAGUCUGACCAAGCAACGCCGCGUGAGUGAAGAAGGUUUUCGGGUCGUAAAACUCUGUUGGUAGAGAAGAACGUUGGUGAGAGUGGAAAGCUCAUCAAGUGACGGUAACUACCCAGAAAGGGACGGCUAACUACGUG